Molecule: RNA transcript, 4288 nt
Organism: Capsicum annuum
Lineage: Eukaryota; Viridiplantae; Streptophyta; Magnoliopsida; Solanales; Solanaceae
Gene name: 30S ribosomal protein S16-2, chloroplastic/mitochondrial
Exons: 2
Source: RefSeq, a predicted model, not a curated record
CAAUUUCCAAAUUUGGUUCUUUUUUUGGUGAUUCCUAAUUCCAUGUGUUCCAUUUAUAAUUUUGAGAUUUUUCUCAAGCGUUUGAGUUGGUGGUAGUUAAUUCGAACUUUCCAAAGAAGGAGGUUCACUUGGUUACCUUUCGUAGUUCGGUGGCCAAGACUCAAAUUGACUUUUUGCUCCUUAGGAAAGGUGACGGGGUUAUUUAUAAAGACUACAAGGUCUUACCGAGUGAGUCUUUAGACCCAUUAUAUGCUUUUGUUGAUGGACCCGGAGAUAAAAAAUAAGAGGAAAAAGAGAGGUGUAGAGGACCAGCCGAGAAUUUAAGGGGCAUUGACUAUGUCUAGUGCACUGGAUAUAGGGGAUAAGUUGAUGGUGAUGAAGGCUUGGGAUAGUGGAGGGGAUAUUAAUAGUAUGUGGGAUAAGACUGUCAGUUGCAUCAGGGAGACAGCUCGAGAGGUGUUGGGUGUUAAGAGAGGCUGCUUGGGCAAGCACCAAGAGGACUGGUGGUGGAACGAAGAGGUGAAGGCUAAGAAGAGGGCCUACUCAAAAUUGGCUGAGAGUAAGGAUGAAGAGAGAAAAUGGAAGAAUAGAGUAGAGUAUAAGAUUGCUUGGAGAGAUGGGAAGUUGAUGGUCAUAAUGGCUAAGUAUGCAACUUUCGAGAUUUUAUACUCUACGUUAGAUAGUAAAGGUGGGGAUAAGAAGUUAUACAGGCUAGCCAAGGUUAGGGAGAGGAAGGCUCGGGACCUUGACCAAGUGAAGUGUAUUAAGGAUGUGAACGACAAAAUUUUGGUGGAGGAUCUUAUUAGGAGGAGAUGUCAGUCUCACUUCCGUAAGCUCCUGAAUGAAGAAAGGGAUACUAGCAUUGUGUUGGGGGAUUUGAAGCAAUUUGAGAAGUUUUGCGACUGUGGUUAUUGUAGGCCCGUUAAGGUUGAGGAGCUUAAGAGGGAUAAUCGUAGGAUGCAUAUGGGUAGAGCGAUGGGGCCAGACGAGAUUUCGGUGGAUUUUUGGAAGUGCACAAGAGGGGGGUAGGUAUGGAGUGGCUUACUCGAUUGUUUAACAUAAUUUUCAGGACGACGAAGAUGCUUGGAGAUGGAGUACGAUGAUUUCGUUGUAUAAGAACAAGGGUGACAUUCGGGAUAACAACAAUUAUAAGGGUAUCAAGUUGUUGAGUCACACUAUGAAGGUUUGAAAAAGGGUGGUAGAGUUGAGGUUGUGGAGGAUUGUUACUAUUUCAGAGAAUUAGUUCGGAUUUAUGCCAGGGUGCUCGACUACUGAAGCCAUCCAUCUCUUUAGAAGACUGGUGGAGCAGUAUAGGGAGAGGAAGAAGGACUUGCACAUGGUGUUUAUCAACUUAAAGAAGGCCUACGAUAGUCCUAAGGAGGUGCUUGGAAGCUAGAGGUGUAUCUAUGGUGUAUGUUAGGGCGAUUAAGGAUAUGUAUGACAGGGCUAAGACUCGGGGUUAGGGGGGGGGGGGGGGGGGGGGACUCGGAGCACUUUUCUGUCUUGAUGGGGUUGCACCAAAGAUCGACUCUUAGUCCGUUUCUAUUUGCCUUGGUGAUGGAUGUUUUGACGUGGCAAAUUCAAGGUGAGGUGCCAACCUUACUUUUUGUAGAUGAUGUAAUUUGGUGGAGUUAAUGCUAAGAUUGAGUUUUGGAGGCAAAUCCUUGAGUCUAAAGGAUUUAGGUUGAGUAGGUCUAUGACGAAAUAUUUGGAGUGUAGGUUCAACGAGGUGUCACAUGAGUCCGAUGUGGUUGUAAAACUUGAUACUCAUUCCAUCCAAAAGAGAGAUAGCUUCAAGUAUUUGGGUCUAUGAUUUAAGGGAAUGGAGAGAUUGACGAGGAUGUCACUUAUCAGAUUGGGGUAGGGUGGAUGAAAUGGAGACUUGCCUCCGGAAUCUUGUGUGAUAGAAAGGUACCUCCUAAACUCAAAGGCUAGUUCUACGGAAUCGUGGUUAGAGACCGACUUUGCUCUAUGGGGCAGAGUGUUGGCCUGUCAAGAAGUCUCACAUUCAAAAGAUGAAGGUGACGGAGAUGAGAAUGCUUUGGUGGAUGUAUGGGUGACUAGGAAAGUUAGGAUUAGAAAUGAGGUUAUUCGAGAUAAGGUGGGAGUGGCUUCGGUGGAAGCCAAGAUGAAGGAAGCGAGAUUGAGAUGGUUCGUACAUGUGAUGAGGAGGGGCACGAGUACCCUUGUGCGGAGGUGUGAGAGAUUGGUUAGGGCCGGCUUUAGACGAGGUAGAGGUAGACCGAAAAAAUAUUCCAAGGAGGUGAUUAGACAUGACAUGGAGCAACUUCAACUUAACGAGGACAUGAUCGUAGAUAGGAAGUUAUGGAGAAGGCAAAUUAGGGUAGAAGGUUAGCAUUAUUUCAGAAUGUUGUAUCGUUUGUUGUGUUACUUGGUGAACCUUAUCUAUGGUAUUAUUGGGUGUGAUAAUUUUUACUGUAUCUUGUCUUUUUACUAUUCCUUGUCUAGAUUGUUUUAUCUUGAGCCGGGAGUCUAUCGAAAACAACCUCUCUAUCUCAUCUCCGAGGUUGUGGUAUGGACUGCAUACACUUACCCUUCCCAUACCCUACUUGGUGGGAGUAUAUUGGGUUUGUUGUUGUUGUUGUUUUUUUGCAUUUUCACUCUUGUUAAAGUAAUAUAAGGAGGACUAGGGAAAGGGGUUCAGUAGAUACUAGGCAAUCAUAUAUUAAUCUACUUUCAGUUCAUGUAUGGUGCUUUUUUUGUUAUAUGACAAAGAAUAUCGUAAUACUACUCAAAGGUGAUAGUUUGGUUCCUUCAGCAGGCUGUGGAAGUUCAGUAUUGGUAUAUCUUUGCAAUAGGAUUAAAGCUUAUUUAAUCUACAAAAUCAUUGAAAUUAUUGUAUGGUUUUGAAUGUGAACGGUUAAGACUGGUUUAUAGCUGUAGUAUCAAGAAUAACAUCGUAGUCAUGUAGACCAGAUUUUGCUAAUUUGUUAUUUUAAAUUUCAUGUCCAUCAGAUUGGUAGUCCUUCUAAAAGAAUAUAGUUAUCGUACGAAUUGGCUGAAAUAUGCUGGCCAAAGUAGAUUGCUGUCAGAUGCAUAGGAGAAAUACAAUGCCUUGAUUAGAAACAAAACAUGAACAAAAUUUUAUCAUGAGCUGCCUCUAAAGAACGAGUGAGUGUGAAACAGGGAGCUGACUGGAUGCAGCAAUUUAAAGUGUUUGGGGAUUUACUCGGGUGACUAUUGUAGAUAUGUAUAAGGAAGAAAUUUAAAGUGUGUUUUUGGGUAAUUUUUAGGGAGACUAUUUCAUAUAUGUACGAGGGAUCAAUUAAGCUAUUUGAAUUGAGUUAUCAAGGAAAUAUUAUGGAAAAGAUGCAUCUGGAACUAAGGAAGUUAUGGACCAAUGUAAAUUAUGUUGGUGAAAAGACAAAGAUAACAAUGCAAUUAGCCAGGGAGUCAAAUUUUAGUUGAUAUAUGUCGGAUUUUUUUCUUCCAAUUUGUAGAAAAACACUAGCACUAUGUUGCUGCAUAAACUUUCGUAUUUUUGCUUCUGUUUCUUGUGAUUCCUUCACAGGAUUAAGUUAAUUACUGUUUUAGGACGAACUUAAUAUAAACCAAUUUCAUAUAGAAGGGUCAAUAUAUUUCCAAAUGAAGGUACAGUCUUACAGUUAUUUGCAAAGUGACCUCUUGAAGGAACUGACGCUCCUUUCUAGUGUAUAUCAGAUGACUUAAUGACCCUAUUUAGUCAGUCAGGAAAGGAAGGUGCCUAGUGCCAUAGGGACGAACACUUAAAGUGCUUGAUCACUGGUACAUAUUGAUUCAUGUAAGACAGGUGCAUAACUAAAAAGGAUAAAUCCUGAAGCAGAUAUUGCCUGUUUCCUGUUUAUGAGAUUUUGGCCACUCAAGUUUCAGACUUGCAAAGGUACAACAACAACAUACCCCAGUAUACUGCCACAAAGUGGGGUCUGGGGAGGGUAAAGUGUAUGCAGUUCAUACCACUACGUCAGACGAAGUGGAGAGGCUGUUUCCGACAACUUCCAAAGGUCCAAAAGGAAAAUAGUGCUUAAAUGGUUGUACUGUGACUUUUCUGUAGUCGUUGCAAGGACUAAAGCUUGUAUUGGUUAUCUGUUGGUGCACAGCCUUCAGAACCAGUUCAACGUCUUCUUUUCCGAGCAGGCGUAUUACCUCCUCCACCUAUGUUGGCUAUGGGACAAAAAGGCGGUCCACGGGACACUCGAUUAGUCGAUCCUAUGACUGGACGCAUCAUGACUCCUUAAAGUGCCAAAAAUGCCAAUCCAAAAGUUGGUUCUGAAGUUGAUGAAAACAAAAA